RNAcentral lists this long non-coding RNA (1091 nucleotides) under Phascolarctos cinereus (koala). RNAcentral describes it as "lncRNA (ENSPCIG00000035721.1)". Lineage: Eukaryota; Metazoa; Chordata; Mammalia; Diprotodontia; Phascolarctidae. The record is from RNAcentral.
GUAUUGAAAAUACAUAAGGAGUGAAAUGUAAGAUCUGAGGAAAUGUUGCCCAUUUUUUCAGGGCCAGGAAAAUCCUGACAACACUCCAGGAAGAAAUCACUUGCCAAAACAUCAGCUUGAACAAGUGGUUCCAUCCAGCUCAAUUGUAAUGCCACAUAAUUUAUGCUGGAGCGGCUUUUGGAAUAGCAGAGAAUGGCAUGUGCCCAUAUUGGGGAGCAUAAGAUUGGAAAUGUUGGUGUUACCCUCAUCUUCACUUCAAAGACUCUAUUGCCUCAGACAUUGGGAGCAAUCAGUCUGAUCAAAACGAAAACAUGUUUGGUUCAAGAAAAGUGGCUGGGGGAAAAAGGUAUUUGUUAAGUGCUUAACAUGUAGUACCAAGCACUAGGCUAAGUGCUGGGGAUACAACUACAAAAAGACUAAAACAACCCUCCCCCCCAAAGAACUUACAUUCUAAAAGAGGAAGUAACACUUAUGAGGGAGUAGUUUGUCAGGGAAGGGGUGUUUUGGUUUGGGAAGGCAAAAGAGAUGAUGAAUAGAGUCUACUCUAAGGGUCUUGAUUAAUUUUCUGCUUUUUUUUUUAAUAGCCAAGGAAGUGCUGACUGGAUUACAGUAUGCUGAGGAAGAGUGUGGGGGAGGCAGAAGCCUGGAGAAGAAUGCAAAGCUUGGAUGGGGCCAACUAGAUAAUAGUGGCCCUAUGAUUUUAAAUUCAUCAAUAAGUACUAUGAAACUGGACUGAUUGGAGAGGUGAGGGAUUAUUUUCCAUUUGGGGAAAUUAGAAUUUUUUCUCCUAUGAUUUGCAAGUCACCUAAGUAGUAUUAUAAAAUGAAAGCAGAUUCUGCAAAGUUAAAAGGAAAGAGAAGAAAAAAAUCUUACCUGAUAAGUGCCUCAGUGCUAAGCAGGCAUCUGCCACAAAUAUGAAUAUGCUACAAAAUAACCAUGUGAAAAUAAUAGUCACUAGCUGCAGCAAAAGCCCUCCUUUGCUUUAAUUCAAGCAGGGCUAUCGUUCUUGGAAGUCUAAUUUGGUAAAUAUCUCGGAGUGCUGACUCAUCAAUCCAGAAAAUUCAAUAAUAAAUUGUCACUGUGAUUUAGCA